Molecule: ribosomal RNA, 838 nt
Filed under: uncultured Actinomycetes bacterium
Lineage: Bacteria; Bacillati; Actinomycetota; Actinomycetes
Description: bacterial SSU rRNA
Rfam family: Bacterial small subunit ribosomal RNA
Source: RNAcentral
GACGAACGCUGGCGGCGUGCUUAACACAUGCAAGUCGUACGGCCGUAUUCUGCUUUCGGGUGGGGUGUGGUAGUGGCGUACGGGUGAGUAUCACGUGAGUAACCUGCCCUCAACUUCGGGAUAAGCUUGGGAAACUGGGUCUAAUACUGGAUGUUUUACUGUCUGCUGCAUGGUGGGUGGUGGAAAGGUCUUUGGACUGGUUGGGGAUGGGCUCGCGGCCUAUCAGCUUGUUGGUGGGGUGAUGGCCUACCAAGGCUUUGACGGGUAGCCGGCCUGAGAGGGUGUCCGGCCACACUGGGACUGAGACACGGCCCAGACUCCUACGGGAGGCAGCAGUGGGGAAUAUUGCGCAAUGGACGGAAGUCUGACGCAGCGACGCCGCGUGGGGGAUGAAGGCCUUCGGGUUGUAAACCUCUUUCGACAGUGACGAAGUUUCUCUUUGGAGGGGUGACGGUAGCUGGAGAAGAAGUACCGGCCAACUACGUGCCAGCAGCCGCGGUAAUACGUAGGGUACUAGCGUUGUCCGGAUUUAUUGGGCGUAAAGAGCUCGUAGGCGGCGCGUUGCGUCGGGAGUGAAAUUCUGCUGCUUAACGGUGGGGUUGCUUUCGGUACGGGCGUGCUUGAGUGCGGUAGGGGAGACUGGAAUUCCUGGUGUAGCGGUGAAAUGCGCAGAUAUCAGGAGGAAACACCGGUGGCGAAGGCGGUUCUUCUGGGCUGUUACUGACGCUGAGGAGCGAUAGCAUGGGGAGCGAACAGGAUUAGAUACCCUGUAGUCUAUGCUGUAAACGUUGGGCGCUAGGUGUGGGGGACUGGUUCACGGUUUUCUUGUGCCGUAGCC